UACGGGGGGAGCGAACGUUGUUCGGAAUCACUGGGCGUAAAGGGCGUGUAGGCGGCUGAAUAAGUGGGAUGUUAAAUCCCCCGGCUCAACCGGGGACCUGCAUCUCAUACUGUUCAGCUCGAGCACAUCAGAGGAGACUGGAAUUCCCGGUGUAGCGGUGAAAUGCGUAGAUAUCGGGAGGAAUACCGGUGGCGAAGGCGGCAUCCUGGACCGAUAUUGACACUGAGGAGCGAAAGCCAGGGGAGCAAACGGG
RNAcentral lists this ribosomal RNA (253 nucleotides) under uncultured bacterium. RNAcentral describes it as "partial 16S ribosomal RNA". It matches the Rfam family "Bacterial small subunit ribosomal RNA", at positions 524 to 776 of the family's 1533-position model. The record is from RNAcentral.